CGGCACGUCCGUCACUCCACCGUCGUGCCGCGUUAAAUCAAAGCCGAUAGUCAUAACCUCCAGCGCUACAGCAACCGCGGAAGCUCGCUCUACAUGGACAGAACAACAAAGACCUUCCUAUCUUAACAUGAACUCUUCUUCUCACUCUUCUCCAGCAUCACUUUACCAGAUUCUCGGUAUAUCAGCAGGUGCUUCCAAUCAAGAAAUAAAGGCGGCAUACCGGCGACUUGCAAGAGUCUGCCAUCCUGAUGUUGCGGCAAUUGAUCGGAAAAACUCAUCGGCGGAUGAUUUCAUGAAGAUUCACUCUGCAUAUUCCACGCUUUCGGAUCCAGAUAAACGUGCUAAUUAUGAUCGGAGUCUUUUCCGGCAACAACUACGGCCGUUGUCAACGAUGGUGUCUUCUGGAUACUCAAGUCGAAAAUGGGAAACGGAUCAGUGUUGGUAGUAAAUUGACUAACAGAUGAGGGAAGUGCAGUUAUUAACGAAGCAUCAUGCCUCAAGUGUAAAUUAUUAACUAAUUACUAAUUAGGGAUAGUAACUACUAUAGUAAUUAGUUCUUUUCACUCAAACCAAACCAUUAGUGAUUAGUUAGCUUUCAGAUUUUGUAUAUUACAAAGUAAAGUAGUAGUAUCUGAAAAAGUGUAUUCUGGGAAGUGUUUCCCCUACAAUACAAGAGAAAUUACUGACCAAUUAUUCUUCUAGUGUAUCUUACUAUAACAAAAAUUAAUCUGUCUGAUCCAAGUUUUAAACAUCAUACAUCAAUUUUUGUUACGUUGAUCUAAUUUUCCCUUGUACGUAGAACCAUAAUUAUUCUUCUAGUCUCUCUCUGCUAUGAAGACAGAGAGCUAGCUCCUCACAUAACUUCAAAUUCGAUCUUUUAUGAAAGAACCAAUCAUCUUAACAUAGAAACUCCAACGUAACUUGGUCUCAUGAAACGGCUUCCUACCAAUUGUUCAACAACAAAUUGUUGAUCUCUUCAUUAAAGCUGUGCAACAUGGAUGCUUCUCUAGACUUCUUACCAAGCUUAGCUUGAGGAAGGGUGUGGAGGUAUUUUAGAGACGUAAAUAGUUAGUUAAGGUAUAUUAUUUGUCUCUAGACUUCAAUGUGUUGAAUCCACAAUUUUUAAAAUAAGAUUUUACUUUAAACCUUAACAUUUCACUAAAGAUAAUAGUCUUUUGUGAGUAUAACUGAUUUGGUAUGAACAUUGCAUAAUGUGUUGAUUGUGAUUCGAACCACUCUAAUUUAGUGAUUAGACUAUUUGAUAAAAAAAAAAAUAAAGAUAACGUAUUCUACUCACUCUCACUCACAUUUUCAGCCUAAUUUUAUAUAUAAUUUCUAGUUUCUAUAAAUCUUCUUCUAGAUACUUUUUGCAUUACAGCACAAUACUCCUUUUUUUUAAGGGUCAAUGCUCAAAUGUAUGGAUGUACAUCUACGUACUCGUACAUCUAAACAAUUAUUUUCCUCCGCAAAUUUCUAUUUCAUAUUAUAAUAUUAAUAAUACUUAUAAAGAUGUCAAACGUAUAUCUUCUUCUAUAAUUUCAUUGGUUGAGGGAUGGAUUGUGGUGGAGAUAAAAUUUCAGUUAAAUUGACACAAUUUAGUUGUUCAAAUUAAGACGCAAAACAUUCCACCACAACGUGACGCUGAAAUGCACCUCUGGCUCUAGAAGAUAAGAAUUAUUCAGUGUAGUGGAAUUUUAGAAACAACUUUUGUCAUCGAUCAAGACUAAUGGACAGGGACUGGGGCAAAUUAACGACUUCAAAAUUCACAAUUAGAUAAGCACAUACGAGGCAAUUGGAACAGUAAAAAUAUUGUUUUAUACAAUGACGUUGAUUUGUGCUAUUGAUAUCACCUCUCCUAUUGUAUACUAAUGAUGUCACAAUCCUAAACAUAUAGUUUUUGCCAAAUUUUGAACUGUAUAUUUCAGCAGCCGGUUUGUCUGAUAUGGAUAGCAAAAUUCUCUUUGAAAGACAUACCAUUAUUGCAUUUUCAUUACAUACUAGGAAAUUAAAUAUAGGUGCAUGGACUUGGGAAAAAGAAUUAGAAAUAAAGGGUUCUAGAAACUUAAAUGAAAAUAUAAUCUAGAAACAAAGUCUUUAAUUUAAUCGCCAAUGCAUCACCUUACAUGUUUAUUUAUCAUUUAGUUUUAUUUUUUGUUGUUAAAUCUUAAGUUUUUGUGUUUAUUUAUGAUUGAGAGUUUAAUUAGUAUUUAUUUCUAACCAACUUUUUUUUUUAUAAAAUUGUAACUUAUAGAAGGAGGGGUCCAGGAUCAACUAAUUUUAGGAGUAAUGUGACUUUUGAUAUAGUUACUCAACUUUCUAGUAUACUAGUAGUUAACCAAAGUCAAGUUCAUAAAAAAAAAAUAUAUAUAUCAUUUAUUCUUUUGAUAUGUUUAUUCUUUUGAAAUUUGUGAAUAGUAAAGAAAUAACAUGGUUUUGAAUGUCAUCGGAUUAUUUGGUCCUUAUGUUAGAAGUUAUAUAAUUGAGGGACUAAUUUGUUAGUAAAGGAUUAAUUUGACAACGGGUUACAACUAGGUUAAUAAAAAUACCUAGUUGUUUAACACAAUUCAAAACUACUCCAUCCGUUUUAUAAUUAUUGUCUCUUUAGCAAUUUUUCUUUUUCUCAAAAUAAUUGUCACUUUACAAUAUCAAUGUAGUAUUUAUUAUUUUUUUUCCACUAUUAUACCCUUAUUUAUUGAAUUUCAUCCAACUUAACCACUCCACUAACUACAAUUAAUAAGGGUGUUUUGGUAAAUGCAACUAAUUUUACCAUUGAAAUCAACACAAUUAAUCAUUUCUUUAAUAAUCGUGCACAAACCUUAAACAACAAAUAUUGUGAGACGGAGGGAGUAAGUUUUUUUUUUGUACUUGCAUCAGGAGGCUAAUUAGUGUUCGCCAUCUCUUUAACAUCAGGAUGCUAAUUAGUGAUUAACUCAAAAUUCUUUUUGUUUCAACAAAAAAUAAAAACAAAAUUCGAAGAAGAAUUACGCUUAUGUUACUAGUGUUAGUAAAAAUCUAGCUUUAAUAUCCCAUAAGUAUAACUAAGUUGGUGUGUAUUUAUUUGUAGCCAGGUUUAAAUCCGCGACUCCACGCUUAUUCAUCCUUAAAAAGUGUCAUAUUCUAUCCAUAUCCCUGCUUAAAAAAGGUCUAAAUUACUUGUAAAUUAAGGUGACCUUUGGUUCAACACAAAAGCCUAAGUUGCCAAAAACACAGGAGUAUUGUUGUUGACACAUCUUGUUAGGCUGAGAAACACGAGUAGUUAAUUGUCGAGGAAAUACGAAAUCGGCUGCAGUUAACUACUGAGGAUUUCCUCGACACUUAACUACUGAGGAUUUCAUCGACAGUAAACUGUCGAAGCGUCCUGAAGUCAAGGCAGAGGCAAUAGCUUCAUUUCCUGAACCUGUAAUGUGUUUCAAAAACAAAACACAACAUAUGUACCUGUUUUUUUUACGCAUAAUGGUUCAAAUGGAAAAACAAAAUUGGCUCAAUUUAACAAACACUGAUUAAACGAAGAAACUAAUGAACCAAUGUCAUCAAAAUACAAACAACAUAAUGUCAUCAAAAUACAAACAUAAUGUCAUCAAAAUCCGAAAAGUAAAAAACAAGUCCUAAUCCUACUGCUGGUGCCUCCUCCUCGGCCUCUGGCCUCGCCUCUUGGUAAUGACUGGCGCGAUCCGCUGCCUAACAUCAUGCAAGGCCGCAUACAACUGCUGAGGGGUCAUGCUCAUCACCUCCUGACCCAAAACUCAUCAGCAUCGGCAACAGCGCCGCUAACCAUGUCAUAGGUAUCAGGCGAGCUUCUCGCCUCGUACCGCUCCCACUGCUAUGCAGUGAUCUGCACCUCAUUAGGAGGCCUCGGAAUAUCUCCUGGAAGAAGUGGCAAAAUCUGAGGGUGAGACACAACGGUGUACCAUCGUACAUAGGCAUCUGUCAAACGCCAUGUCUGCUCUCCUGCAUGCUCACCCCAAUCGGCCUCCUCAAGCGUGUGAGUGCGGAAGUCGACGAAAGCCUGCACAAUCUCAGCCGGCGACAGCUCUACAACAUCCGACGGAUGUCUAGGGGCGGUCUAGACGUAUCCGUACUGCCUCAAAACCCUCUCGGGCAAGUGACGGUACACCCUACGAUCACCGCACAUAAUCCAGCCUGAAUACCAGAAUACCUCCUCAAAAGCCUAGAAGUCCUUGUGUUCUUCGUACGACCUCCAGCAUACGUCAUCAAACGUAAUACGAUCAAGCAGUGACCGAUACGUGACCCCCUCUCCAUGACCCUUCUGAAGCUUCCACCUCGCCGCAACCGGUAAGUUUUCAACAUAGUUGGUGUUUGGAUCAACAACAUAAAACUUAGGAAACUGCGCCAAAAACCAUGUCUACACAAACCAAACAAAUCACAUUAAUAAAUUAUUAUGCACGGAAAAUAUAACAAAAAAAUAAAAUAUAAGUUUUCUUAAAGUGAGCAGUAUCACGCUUCCCCCAAUUUGCUUGUCUCUAGGCAUACAUGCCUCAGUUAACUCGUUGUAUAGGUAUGCAAGUGUCAUCCCUCCCCCCAUGAAUAAUUACGCAUAGCCGUCCUCCAUGGUCGUCAGAUAGACCAACUCGAUGCGUUUGUUGCUUCUAUCCUCAAACAACAAGCAUCCAACCAAGUAGAAAAGAUAACAUUUCACACCAUAAGUCCUAUCCAUCUCCAACUACUUCAGUUCCUCUGGAUCCUCUGUAUCCGCCAAAGUGUUAGCCCUACCAAGGCUAGUCGUAUAUAACUCCCUCAGCUUUGGAUAACUAAUGUACCCACCAUACUCUUUAUUGCAAAUUUUCUCUGCCUCCUUCUUCGACGCACCCAAGUGCCUCACCAGUAGUGUCUCUCCCUCAUGUCUCAGCAUAUUCUUUCGGUGGCCCAACAUCCGCCCUUCAAUCUGAAGAUGCAUAAGACAAGCGACAUCCUCCAAAGUCAUGGUCAUCUCCCCCAUGGGCAUGGGAAAAGUGCUGGUCUCAGGAUGCCACCUCUCGCAUAGAGUCAUCAGCAAAGCAUGAGGCACAGUGGGGUAGCACAAGAAAACCAAAUCAUUUAAUCCACUCUCCCUAAGCGGGUCCCAAAACCAUCUCUGAUUACUGUUUGGACGUCCGAGACUCAAAAUCUUAGCACCAUGAUUAAUCGGUUUUACAUAACGGAACUUGCGGCACUGAAAUAAUAGAAAAAUAAACAUAGUUUAAACAAUGUAAACAUUUAACUAAUAAAAUAAAACUUAACAAAUGCAAAGAAUAAAAGUUGAAAUAAAGAAAAUAUAAAUAAAAUAAUUAAACUUAAAGAAAAGAAUUAAAAAAAACACAUAUAAAAGUUGAUAUAAUAAUUAAACAAACACACAUAUAAAAAAAAUAAUUAAACAUAAAGAAAAAACAUUUAAAAAAAUUACACUUACGUUAUCUGAAUUAUACCAAAGCGGCAAUGCCACAUGAUUGGCAUAAGAGUGCAGAAGAGAUAUAUUUUCCGGUCCUCCAGAAAAGGGAGGGUCCAAAGGUAACACCUCCGGGGCAACCGCUGCUGCAAUGACAUCAUCGUAUGGUUCAUGUUGCUGCUCUGGUAUAUGAUCCUGAUCAUACCCACCAUCAGUCACAUCGUGGUGUACCUGAUCCUGAUAAUUCAGGUACUUCACCUCCUGGGUCUGGUCAGCAACCUGUGACUCUUCAGGCUGUGUAACAGCCUGAGAAGUCCCUGAACCAUAUCCCCUCCGACCUCUUCCCCUCUUUUGGAUGUGCCCGCUUUGCCUCUCCUUCCGGUGGCUUUAGGUCAUCGCACGCCUACCACCAAUCAUCUUAGAUUGAUCAAUGGGGUCCUGAUCGGUCAUAUCUACACAAAAAAAUUAAAAAAUUAACAUCAUUUUCAUAACCUAAUCAAACACAUUAAACCUAAACUAAACAUAAACAUAAUCAAACACAUUAAAAGUACAACAAUGAAUAUCAUUUCCAUAACCUAAAAUCAUUCAAUAUAAUCAUUAUUACAAUAAAAUUUAUGUCCAUCAUUUCCAUAAUAACCUAAACAUCAUUCAAUAAUUAACAUACACUUAAUCAUUUCUAUACACUUAAUCAUUUGUGUCCAUCAUAAUUUUCAUAACCUAAACUAACUAAACAAUCAAUAUACACUUAAUCAAACUAUAAUUAACAUCAUUUCUAUCAUUUCCAUAACCUAAACAAACUAAAUAAUCAAUAUAAUUUUCAUUGAGGCAUUUGAUCAAACACUUUGUGUGCAAAGUAUAAAACAUAUUCAAAUUGUGUUCAUUUGCCACCAUUCAAAGCCACAUUAUGAUUUAAACAACAUAUGCAACUACUACAUUCAUUUAUCAAUUCAUAAACUACACAUGCAAUCAUCAAAUUGUCAAUUCAUUUAUAAAACCUAACCACAUGCAAACUACUCAAAUUUUUUUAAAAACUUAACCUAAACAAAUUAACAUUAAGAUUGCAAUGAUUAAUAGUACUUACUUGUGAUAAUGUGGGGAUGAUUAACUUGCAAUUCGUGAAAAUGGAAUUUGGAGAGAAUUUUAAGAAAGGAAGAAACUGCAAAACUGUGUUUCUGCAUAUGUUCAGCACGCCUCGUCAGUUAACUACCGAGGUUUUCCUCAGCAGUUAACUGCAGUCAGAUUUUUAAUUCCUCGGCAGUUAACUGUCGAGGGAGCAAAAUCGUAUUUUACUUGUGUACCUCAAGUCUUAUAAAAUAUGUGAACAAAAUUUUCAAAUGACGGAAGAGAAAUUAAAUUACCGUGGCUCUUGUUUCAUCGCCCACUAGUCAGUGUAACAAAAAGAACCAACACUAGACGGAAAAAGAAUUAUAAAUAAAGGGUUGGAUACUUAUAUAAAAAAAAAUGUUCUAGAAAGAGUCUUUAAUUUAAUCGCCAAAGGCAUCACCUUACAUGUUUAAUCAUUUUCCCUCAAAAAAAAAAAAGUUUAAUUAUCAUUUGGUUUUGUCGUUGAUAUAUAGUAUCCAAUUGGUAGUUCUAAAUCGUCAUUCUCUUGUAGCUCUCUACAUUCUCCACUAUACUUAUAUUACCUUUCCUGUGUUUCUAGACCAGUGGUUAAUGAUGAAACGAAACAAAUUAACUUUUUCUUAAACUUUAUGUAUAUAAAUUUGGAUUGAAACUUAGCAUUAACCAAUUACACUUAUCAUCAGUAACAAAAAUAUUACUGCAAGAGAAUUUGUACCAAAGCUGUGAUCAGAUUUUGAUAAUUCUCAAUUGAAAUUGUUCAGCACAAUCUCCUUCAAAAGUAUAAUGCAUUAUUUACCAUUACACUCCAAAUUGAUCAAUUAAACUUGAUAUGGACUGAAUAUACAGCAUUUAUAAUUACUAAUAAUUAUAUGAAAAGCUUAGCAUGCAGACAUGUCGGUCACUUUCCUUUUCCUCCAAAUGUCUUCUUUUAUAUCGUGAGUAGAAAACGUAAACAGUGUGUAGCCAUAAAAAACACGUAAACAGUAUUUUCUAUACUUUAUAUUCUUUAAUUAAUUUAUAAACGACAAUUAUUUGUGCCUGAUAUAGAUAGCAUGAGAUGAGACAUAUUGAUAUUUAAUUGAACCGAUCCAUAGAAUUAGAAUUAAAUAAUAUAAACUGCUUCCUUGUCAACUUCAAUAUACAUCAGAGCAGUGCACUAGGCCUAUGCAUUUGGAGCAACUUGUGACUUGUAUCCCAAUCGAGGCAUUAGUGGUAUUAUGAGAUAUUUAUAUGUGUUUGUAUCUAGAAGGAAGGCAAUAAUUGUGUGUAUCUAGAAGGAAGGCAAAUCAGAAAAGUAUUCAUAAUAAUGCAUCACUUUGUUCCAAACAAAAAUAGCUGGCCAUUAUUUAUUUUUAAGGAGGAAAUUCAUUGUAUUUUAUUAGUUAAAAUAUGUCAAAUAUAUGAGGGUACAUCAAUAAUAUAGGUGCUAGAAUUAGAUAGGGUUGCCUGAUCUAACCCGUAAGCUACCCUAUUCGCUUGCCUCGUGUUGAACACAACAUGAGAGUUCCGAAAUCUAUUCACUAUCAACUGUUUACAAGCAGGAAUAUUACACCCAAAUUCGGUACUAUCAUCAAUGUUUGAAUUGACACUAUCAACAACUCUUUUACAAUCAAGUGCAAAAUCAACAUAUUGUCAAACUGUUGAUUAGAAAUCGAAUCCAAAGUCGUGUGCAAUCCAACAACCUCCCCUACGUCAAUAUCACAAAGAGCGGCAAAUCAAUCCAAAAGCACCAUCGUCAUCCCUAAGGCACAUGCCCAGACCAACCCUCUGAAGAGAAGCAGAAAAAGAUGCAUCAAUGUUGCAUUUAUACCUGCCAGGUGCCGGUUUCUUCAAAUUAUCCUCGUUUUGUCUUGUAGGCCGCGCCUGUGGUACAUGUGGUGUGGUGGUUUGAAUGCUGAGAGACAUGAUAGCUUGGGUUGCUCGUCAUUCUUCUAAUAGGUGGGUUGCGCGUUGAAGCACCUGCGAGUUGAUUUCAUUCUGUUGGUGCCACAAUUUCCGACUCUUCCGAAAACUCCACAUAAUUGUGGCCAUAAGCUCACGUUGACCUGAAGAAAAAUUCUGCAAAAGAGUGAAUAUGAGUGCAUGAAUAUUAUAGUCUUGACGGAGCACCCUGUCUAUUGUGUCCCAUAAAUUCACAUCCCGCCAAACUUGGACAACUUUAGAACACUCAAUGAGAAUAUGGAUGAUAUCUUCAUAGUUGUUAUUACAUUGAACACAAUCAAGUGGGCAAGAGACCCCUCUACUACUUAGACGAGCGCGUGUUGGAAAAUAACCACGACACACACGCCAAAGUAAAUUCUUAAUUUUAUGAGGCACUUUUAACUUCCAAAUGAGAUUCCAACGACCAGAAACAUGCAUGUGACAGUUGUCUGCAAUUUCAGUCACAUAUAUUCUAUAUGCACUUCUGACAUAAUACUUACCACUCUUUUCCCCUUUCCAAAUCAUUUUAUCUUCCGUUACUAGUGGCUGAAGCGGCGUGUUAAGAAUUAAAUGUGCAGUGGACGCAUCAAGUAAAUUAUGAAUUAGAUCAGGUGCCUUCCGAAUCUUUAACUCUUGAUCGAUAAAAUCACAUAAUUUCACCUGCAUCAAAGGCUCAAAAAUUGGGUUAGUCGUAGAUUAUUCUUAUUAAUUGAUUAAUUUAUUAUUGUGAUCAUGUCAAUAUUUAUCCAGACGGAGGAGUCAAGAUUUUUCUUUUGUUCUUCAAGUAGCCUAGUGGUGAAAACUCACACAUUUUAAACUUUGAUGAAAUAAGUUGUUCGGGGUUCGAACUUCAGCCUCUGCAUAUAAUAUGCAAUAUCCUUUUCAACUAAGCUAAGUUCACAGGAAUGACUCAAAAUCCUUUUUAUUUAUCUAAAUAUGUUGUUUUUAGGCAUGUAUCCAGGUUAAUUGCAUUAUUUGACAAAUAUAUAUUUAUAACUCAUCACAAUUUCAAUACAAAAUAUUCAUAAUAUCACCAUUAUUUGAAUGGUGGGUUUAUCUAAAAUAGGCCUCAAAAGACGGUUAAAGUGAAUCCAUAACACUUGACAUUGAAUGCAUUGGACAAAUGAUGGACAUCACUUUGAACCUAUAUAUGUAUCACUUUGAACAUUUUCUUAUUCAUCAUCAUGAAGUUUGACAUGUCCUUGAUAAAUCAUAAAGAUAAAAUAGCUAUAACUAAUUAGUCAAACUAAAAAUGAUUAUCCAAAUCGUAUUCUGACGAACUCUUUGGGAAUCUUGAUAAAAAGCAUCCACAAAUAUCGUGAUAGAUCAAGAAUAAAUACUAACUACUCCGCUGUGAUUAUUUAAAAAUCAUCUUCCUAAUUUUCAGAACAAUAAAGACAUAAACUAUAUAUCCUUGAAUCUCAAAAUUUCACCAUCACUUUCUCUAAACUCAUUCUCUUUUCCUUGAGCAAUUUGUUUUAUUCACUUCUUCAGGUCUUGGUCAUACUCUUGAUCCUUCUUGAUGUGUUCCAUCAAAUUAUUCGUAAUCUUUAACAUCCUAAGCUUGUACAUGCAUUUAGUUCAAAGCCUAAACCUAAUCCUUAAUUACGCUUAAAUUUAAUUCAAAUUUUAUACAUGCAUGAAGUACGCUUAAUAUAAGGCGAGUGGGACGCGUAAAGUGUAAACCGAACUCUCUUCCAUCCCCCAUGUGCAAUUAGAUUCAGUUGUCUCUCAAGUUAACUCAUCGCACUUAUGUAACAUUCCGGCGGGCUAUCUCACAUGACAUAGCGAGUAAUAUUGUACCACGUGUUGCUUCUUCUUUUUUUUGGUUAAUUAAGUUUGGCUUAAUACAUGUUUUGGUUUCUUAACUUAUUUUUGAAUUUCAAUUUCGUCCCUUAACUUUAAACUGUCUCAAUUUAGUCCCUAAGUAUACAUAUGUUUGUCCAACUGGUCCUUUCUAUUAGUUUUGUCAAAAAACGUUAACUUUGUCCAUGUUGCAUGGACAAAAUUAACGUUCUUUUGAAAAAUACUAACAGAAAGGACCACUUGGGUAAACGGAAGUAUACUUAGGGGACCACAUUGAGACAGUUUAAAGUUAGGAGACCAAAUUAAAAUCCAAAAAUAAGUUAAAGGACCAAAUCAUAUAUUAAGCCAUUAAGUUUUUAGUCCUUAUAAAUAUUCACAGUUUUGUUUUAGGAUGACACAUUAAUUAAUUAUAUUGAAUCCAUGAUACAAAUUGCUACAAAAAAAGAAGUUUUUCAUUGUAUGUAAAAAUCAAUUUUAAGAUCAAAAGUUAUAAAUCUUGCUUCAAGUAAAAUCAAUGUUGAGGCAUAGUCAAUUUUACGAUUGUAAAUGUAUCAAAAUCAAUUUUACACUUCAAUCAAUUUUGUUCCUUUUAAAAGUGAAACCAACUUAUAAAGUUAAUUUGAGUGAUAAAAUUGUUAUAAAUUUAGGUCUUAAUAAAAAUAGAUUUCAUAAAAUAUGUUCAACAAUUAUGAAUUAUAGCGGAAACAUUUUUGAUUUAAGGAUAUUAAGAAUUAGGGUAUUAGGAAUACCUGAAUUAUGCUUUCAUGACAACCAUCUCAACAGCAACACGAAAGAGAGGAGAUGAUCUGAAACAAAUUGAAGGGGUUAGCGACGGCUGAUUUGGUUCUUCCUCAACCGAUACGAGUUUUAUCGUGUAUGGUGUAUUGCGGACCAUAACCUUUUUUAUUUUGAAGUCAUUAGGGUUUUCCAUUUUCCAUUAUUCCGUUAAUGGGUCAUCUGCAUAUCCACUUAUUGGAUCCAUAUCAAUUAAUUAAAUAUUUAAUAAAUUAUCUAAUUAGAAAUUUAAUCGUCUUAUCACUUAAUUUGAUCACUAAUCAAUUAAGACCCACAGUUGAUAAAUAGCUAAUAUAAUUAUUAUUACAAUGAUAUCGGAAUAUAAUUAAAUAAUAAAAUAUUUUAACAAAAAUAACUAGUUGAUUCAUUACUAAUUACUAAAUAUGAAAAGGAUGUUUAAUUAGGAAUACUUAACCAGCAAACAAAGCAUCAAACUGUAGAAAAAGUAGCAGGAUGGUAAAGCCAGGUACAAUCUGAGUCAGCACGUAUCGCCCAUUGGAUAAGUUCUUUGUGUGCUCCGCAAAAUAACAAUCACAACACAAACCACGGCAUUUUUUCACUCUGGGACCCACACGUUCUCCUUUCUUUGUAUAAAACCAAUCCUAACCCCAAUUUCAUUUCUCCUCAUUCUCAAAUCUCAUAACGAACAUUUUCAUCACAAACAUGCUUUCCUCCAUAUCUCUUCCUUCUUCUCUCUACGCCGCCGGUAACUUCUCCGGCGCCACCGUAACACCACCACCGUGCCGCGUCAGAUCGAAGCCAAUACUCAUCACCGCAAGCGCUACAGCAACUGCGGAAGCUCGCUCUACAUGGACAGAGCAACAAAGACCUUCGUAUUUAAACAUGAACUCUUUUUCUUACUCUUCUCCUGGAUCACACUAUGAGAUCCUCGGUAUAUCAGCAGGUGCUUCGAAUCAAGAAAUCAAGGCGGCCUACCGGCGACUUGCAAGAGUCUGCCACCCUGAUGUGGCGGCGAUUGAUCGGAAAAACUCAUCGGCGGAUGAUUUCAUGAAGAUUCACUCUGCAUAUUCGACGCUUUCGGAUCCAGAUAAACGUGCUAAUUAUGAUCGGAGUCUUUUCCGGCAACAACGACGGCCGUUGUCGACGAUGGUGUCUUCCGGCUACUCAAGUCGCAAAUGGGAGACCGAUCAGUGUUGGUAGUGAGUUGACUCAUCCGAGUGAAUUUUGAAUUUACUAACAGAUGAGGCAGUUGC
RNAcentral lists this long non-coding RNA (12201 nucleotides) under Medicago truncatula (barrel medic). RNAcentral's name for it is "long non-coding RNA (MTRU_LNC002881)". The record is from RNAcentral. Lineage: Eukaryota; Viridiplantae; Streptophyta; Magnoliopsida; Fabales; Fabaceae.